GAUGAACGCUGGCGGCGUGCCUAAUACAUGCAAGUCGAGCGAACAGACGAGGAGCUUGCUCCUCUGACGUUAGCGGCGGACGGGUGAGUAACACGUGGAUAACCUACCUAUAAGACUGGGAUAACUUCGGGAAACCGGAGCUAAUACCGGAUAAUAUAUUGAACCGCAUGGUUCAAUAGUGAAAGACGGUUUUGCUGUCACUUAUAGAUGGAUCCGCGCCGCAUUAGCUAGUUGGUAAGGUAACGGCUUACCAAGGCAACGAUGCGUAGCCGACCUGAGAGGGUGAUCGGCCACACUGGAACUGAGACACGGUCCAGACUCCUACGGGAGGCAGCAGUAGGGAAUCUUCCGCAAAGGGCGAAAGCCUGACGGAGCAACGCCGCGUGAGUGAUGAAGGUCUUCGGAUCGUAAAACUCUGUUAUUAGGGAAGAACAAAUGUGUAAGUAACUGUGCACGUCUUGACGGUACCUAAUCAGAAAGCCACGGCUAACUACGUG
RNAcentral lists this ribosomal RNA (497 nucleotides) under uncultured bacterium. RNAcentral's name for it is "partial 16S ribosomal RNA". It matches the Rfam family "Bacterial small subunit ribosomal RNA", at positions 28 to 507 of the family's 1533-position model. The record is from RNAcentral.